Molecule: ribosomal RNA, 253 nt
Filed under: uncultured bacterium
Lineage: Bacteria
Description: partial 16S ribosomal RNA
Rfam family: Bacterial small subunit ribosomal RNA
Source: RNAcentral
UACGUAGGGACCGAGCGUUGUCCGGAAUCAUUGGGCGUAAAGAGCGUGUAGGCGGCCACUUAAGUCCUGCGUGAAAUCUUGCGGCUCAACCGCAAGCGGUCGUGGGAAACUGGGUGGCUAGAGUGCGGGAGAGGAGAGUGGAAUUCCCGGUGUAGCGGUGAAAUGCGCAGAUAUCGGGAAGAACACCCGUGGCUAAGGCGGCUCUCUAGUACGGUACUGACGCUGAGACGCGAAAGCGUGGGGAGCGAACAGG